AUGCAGCCCAAAUCGGGCGGUAGACUCCGUCCAAGGCUAAAUACAGGCGAGAGACCGAUAGCGAACAAGUACCGCGAGGGAAAGAUGAAAAGGACUUUGAAAAGAGAGUCAAAGAGCCGGCGGCCAAAGCCCGGGGGCCCUAGGUGCCCCCGGUGGCCGUCGUCGGCACAGCCGGUACCCGCACGCCGAAAGGCGUGUCCCUCGAGGCACUGCGCUGCAACGGCCUGCGGGCUCCCCAUCCGACCCGUCUUGAAACACGGACCAAGGAGUCUGACAUGCGUGCGAGUCGAUGGGUUCUGA
Molecule: ribosomal RNA, 300 nt
Filed under: Triticum aestivum (bread wheat)
Lineage: Eukaryota; Viridiplantae; Streptophyta; Magnoliopsida; Poales; Poaceae
Description: partial small subunit ribosomal RNA
Rfam family: Eukaryotic large subunit ribosomal RNA
Source: RNAcentral